ACGCACGGCCGGCGGGGCCGGCGCUCCAGGCCGUUGAUCUCCCCGCCCGGAUCGCGCAGGAUCGCGAGCGUUGGGAGUAAACACCCCGCAUGGAGAUCCAGGCGUGUUCGCCGCGGAGGCGCCGUUAUCCCGGACCGGGCGGACCCGAGCGUGAGGCCGCCGCAGGGCACAGGCUCCAGACGCGCAGGCUCAGUAGUUGUGGCUCACGGGCCCAGUUGCUCCGCGGCACGUGGGAUCUUCCCAGACCAGGGCUCGAACCCGUGUCCCCUGCAUUGGCAGGCAGAUUCUCAACCACUGCACCACCAGGGAAGCCCAACAUGGUGGUCACAAAGCACCGAGCUGAUCUCCCUGUGCUAUGCGGCUGCUUCCCACCAGCUAUCUAUUUUACAUUUGGUAGUGUCUAUAUGUCAAUGACACUCUCUCACUUCAUCUCAGCUUACCCCCACUGGAAUGGUUUUGACCCAGAAAGAAUGUCACCAAUAAACAGUCUCAGUGUGAAACAAGAUAGAGAACAACCCCUCAGGGAGCUCACUGUAAGGCUGGAGGCAAGGCCCCUCCUACACUUUUCUUCACUCCCACAUGGAGCAAAAGACUCAGUUAUGUGUUUAGUCCAAAUCUUGUAAAGCAGCACUGGCUGUAGGGGCUAACCCUGCCCUUUGUUUCCAGGUGUCCCAAGCUGAUUCUUAAAUCAGCUUUGUUGAAAUUAAUAUGCCUACUCCAAAGUUUUUAGUUUAGUAUUAACUUAAUAUGCCUUUCUUAUUCCCUUUACAUUUUUUGAAUUAUUGGAAUUUAUUUUUAGAAUAGUUUUGAGCUUGCAGAAAACUUGAGCAGCAUGUUCAGAGUUCCCAUAUACUCCCCCUCCCACUCCUUCCCUUGCCCUCAUUAUUAACAUCUUGCCUUGGUGUGGUAAGCACGUUAAAAUUGAACCUACAUUGAUACAUUGUUAUAAAAUAAAGUCAGUUAUUUUAAGAGCUCACAUUCUUUGUGAUCUACAGUUCUGUGGGUUUUGUCAAAGGCAUGAUGUUAUGUACCCACCAUUACCACCACAUCAUGUGGAAUAGUUUUACUGCCCUAAAAAUCCUGUCUGCUCUAGCUGUUCAUCCUUCCCUCCUCCCCUCCCCAAUCCCUGGCAGAUUGUUCUUUUUUUCACUGUGAAUAUGAUAAAUUCCAGAUUUUCUCCAAAUAUAUUAUGGCAGAUUAUACUCCAACACAUGGAAGGGAAGUAUUAUCACAGUAGUUUUUUUUCAAAUAUAAUCAGACUGGGUUUAUGCCUCUCCUACAAAGAUUGAUAAUAAUAAAAGUAUAUUGUCUCUAACACUUGUUCACCUGAGUUUGGAUUAUAUAAGAACUACUGAAAUAGGCCACCAAUCUUCCAACUCUUGUGCUAGAAAGAGCC
Balaenoptera ricei (Rice's whale) is the source of this 1396-nucleotide long non-coding RNA. RefSeq lists it as uncharacterized. The record is from RefSeq and is a predicted model, not a curated record. The transcript has 3 exons. NCBI's taxonomy places the organism in Eukaryota, Metazoa, Chordata, Mammalia, Artiodactyla, Balaenopteridae.